AGGGCCGUUCUGCAGUGGCCAGGUUUGUAUAGACUCUUUAUCUCUCUUUUAUUUCAGUGGAGUUGUUUGGUCAUCUAAUUUUGUUUGUCAAUUAGAUGGCAGGAUUAUUUGGUUUGAUUAGAAUCAUAUAAACCUUUAGGUAUGUUCUGAGAUCUAAUUUUCCUUUUUGGAUAUGAUACUGAAAGAUUUUGAUUGCUUCUGUCAAUUGCCCAUAUAACUGCGUGCCUGAAUAAAUGAUAUUUAACUAAAGAACUUUGGAUUCAGUUUUAACAGUAGAGUAUGGCAAAUAGCAAUCCCACUAAAAGAUAAAAACUUGGCAUUUGUAGCCACUUUUU
RNAcentral lists this unclassified non-coding RNA (335 nucleotides) under Hevea brasiliensis (rubber tree). The record is from RNAcentral. Lineage: Eukaryota; Viridiplantae; Streptophyta; Magnoliopsida; Malpighiales; Euphorbiaceae.